AAAAAUGUAAACACCUAGAAUAAUUAAUAUGUGACAUGAAUAAAUAUAAAGCAUCCUUCCUUUUUUUGGAAACAAAGAGGAGAAACUAUUUAUGUUUGCUGUUGACCAUUAAACUAUAGCUAAAAAAAAGUAGUGGUAGUAAAGCUGAUUAACAGUAUCUAUCAAUUGUAUAAAAAAUUUUAACAAAUGCUAAUGUUUGUGAUGUAUUUCAAUAAUUAACAGCAAAAUUAGAAGAUGGCCAGCAUUUACGGCCAGAAAUUCAACAGGUACCAACUGUGUGACACCAAUGCCAAACAAGCAACUAAAAUUAUCCCCCAGUAUCUAUUCUACCGUCUUUUUAGCAACAGAACUUCCUGAGCAUAUACCCAGUGAGCUAGACUCCUUGGCAGCUAAGUGUGGUCUGUGACUGAGUUCUAGUCAGUGAAAUAUGAGCAUAAGUUAAAUAUGCAAUUUCUAGAUCAUGUCUUUUUAAGUACAUGGCUAGCUUUCCACUUCCUCUUUCUCUCUUUUGAGGGCCAAGUUCAACCAUGCACAUGACAACACCAAAGGAAAUGGCAAAACUGGAAAGACAGAAGGAAAGUAGAAUCCUGGAUGACAUCAUGGGACAAAGCUGCUUACCUCUGGACUUAUCACUUAAGAGAGAAACUUAUUUUGUUCAAGCCACUGAUUUGAAAAAUAUCCACGAGAUAAAACUGUCAAGACUUGGAAAAAGACUGGAUAUGAUAGAGAAGAAAAAGGAGUGUCAAGGAUGUCUCUCAGGUUCUGCCCUUUGCAAUCAAAUGGAGAAACCACUCUUUUUACUGGAGGAGAGGACCAGGUUUGGGUGGGGAGGUGAUAGCUUCAGUGUGGGACAUCAUGAGCUUGAAGUAUGUCACAGGCUGAAUAAUUUGGCUCCCAAAGAUAUCCAGAACCUGGAGUUCCUAUUGUGGCUAGGCAAAAACAACUCUGACUAGUAACCAUGAGGAUGCAGGGUCCAUUCCCUGGCCUCUCUCAGUGGGUUAAGGAUCCGGCAUUGCCGUGAGCUGUGGUGUAGGUCACAGACUCAGCUCAGAUCUGACACUGCUGUGGCUGUGGCACAGGCCAGCAGCUACAGCUCUGAUUCAACUCCUAACCUGGGAACCUCAAUAUACCGAGGGUGUGCCCCCCCCAAAAAAGAGUGAGAGAUCCAAAGAUAUCCAGAACCUAUUCCCCAAAACCUGUGACUGUUAACCUUAUAUGGCAAAAGGACUUUGUAGCUAUAAAUAAAGGAUUUUGAGAUGGAGUUAUUAACCUGGAUUAACCAAGUGCACCCUAAAUGUAAUCAGUGUACUUAUGACAAGGAAACAGAAGGAGAGCUGAUCACAGAGAUGUGAAGGUGAUGUGAUGAUUAGAAGUGAGACUGGAUUGAUAUAUUUUGAAGACAGAGGAGGAGGCCACAGGCCACGAAAUACAGACGGCCAGUAGAGGUAGGGGGAAAAAAAAAACCACACACACACACACAAAACCCACAAAAAACACCCUACAAAACAAAAAAACCCAAGCACAACAAACACACACACACACACACACACACACACACACAAAAUAGAUUCUCCUUCAGAGCCCUCAGAACUGUAAGAGACUAAAUUUGUGUUGUCUUAAGACGCUAUAUUUGCGGUAACUGGUAAUAGCAGUGACAGAAACUAAUACAAAGUACCUCUGAAACAUCCAAGUGCAUACAUCAAGAAGGCAGAUGAGCCUGAAAUUAGAAGAAAUGCGGACUGAGGAUAUAAACCCCAGUCACUGGCAUAACUGGAACUUUAAAUUUAUAAGAGAUGACUGGAGAAUAGACAGAGAUCAAAGAGCAGAGGUCUCGGAAAAUGCCAAACUAAAGAACACAAAAGGGAAAGAAAAGCUGACCAAAAAACAAUGUAAGGAGUUGUCAAGUGGUCAGAGAAGUUAAGAAAACUAAGAGAGCACAGUAUCAUGAAAGUCAACCUAAGAACAUAUUUCAAGAGUUUGGUCAAAAUGCUGCUGAGACCCCUAGUAAGAUGAAGACGAAAAAUAACCAUUAGUGACCCUGAGCAAGAGAUGUUUCAGAGAAAUUAUGAGGGCAGAAACCAAAUCAGCGUGGAGAGAUGAGGAAAUGGAGACAGCAUGUGUAGACAAUUCUUUCAAAAAGUUUGGCUGGAAAGAAAGAAUGGUUGUAGUUAGAAGAGGAAAUAGGAUAAAGGGGGAAUUUUUUACACAGAAAGACUGAGAAAUCCUCAAUGAGCUGUAUAUAUAAGAAAGUAUGUGCUGCCCCAGAAUCUCAUGAAACAGGAUGUUAUAAAACUUUUGGAUUUUUACUAAUUGAUAAGUAAAAACUAGCAUAUUAGUAUUUUUAAUUUCAUUUUCUUAGGAAUAAAGUUGUGUAUCUUUUCAGAUAAGAGGACUAAAUGGCCAUGUGUAUCUUUCAGUCAACUGUUCAUUAUGUUUGCUUGUUUUUAUAUGGUGUUGCUACUAUUUCUCUUAUCUAUUUCUAGAGAUAGUUUAGGAAGGUUAAUCUUGUCAGUGUUAAAAAUUUGUCUUUUGGAGUGCCCGUCAUGGUGCAGUGGAAACAAAUACAACUGGGAACCAUGAGGUCGAGGGUUCAAUCCCUGGCCUCGCUCAGUGGGUUAAGGAUUGGGCGUUGUUGUGAGCAGUGAUGUAGGUCACAGACGUGGCACAGAUCUGGCGUUGCUGUGGCUGUGGUGUAGGCCAGCGGCUACACCUACGAUUGGACCCUAGCCUGGGAACCUCCAUAUGCCUUGGGUGUGGCCCUAAAAAAACAAACAAAAUGAAACAAAUUUGUCUUCUGACUUUGUUUACAGUGAUUUUUGUUUUGGUUUUAGUCAUAGUUAGACAUUUGCCACUCCAAAGUUAUGAAAAUAAUUCUUCCAUGUUCUUCUUAUGUUUUCUUAUGUUUAUGUCUCCAUUUUCUACAUGUCUCUGAUCUCAUUUAGAGUUUAUCAUGGUAUACAGUGCUAUGUACACUAAGAUAAAUUCUAGAUACCCUAAUGUCCCAAUACUACCUUCUCUCUGCCACCCAUGAUUUGAGAUGCUAUCAUUUUUACAUAUUAAAUACCUAAUAUGUUUUGGGGUCUAUUUCUGGACUUACUUUUCUGUUUCAUUGAACAAUAUUCAUAAACUAGUACACAAUUAUUUAAUACUUAAAUCUUUAGACUGUAUUGGUAUCUAAUAGGGCACUCCUUCAUUAUAGCUUUUCUUUUUCCAAGUUUCCCUGGAUAUUCUUGUCUGUUUAUUUUUUUCAUAUAAACUUCCAAAUCAGGUGACUGUCACAGGAAAAAACAACAACAAAAAAAACAAUUAUUGGUAGUGUUUUUAUUGGGAUUAUGCUUAAUUUAUAAUUUAGGGGAAAUUAUUAUUUUGAUGCUGGUUCUUCUUAACGCAAGAACUACGAUAUCUUUCCAUUUACGUCUUCCUUUUUGUUAUAUUUUAAUACUAAUGCCAAGAGUUUGGUAAAGGUGAAAAGGUGAAGAAGACUGCUAGUUAGGAGUUCCCUCAUGGCCCAAUGGGUUAAGGACCCAGUGUUGCCAUUGCUGUGGCACCGGGGGGUUAGGGGGGGCAGGAACUUCUGCAUGCUGCAGAUGUAGCCAAAAAAACAAAAAACAAAAACAAAACAAAAAAAGACAACUGCUAGUUAAACAAGGCAGGCUGAACAUAUGAUUUACUCAUAUUCCUUAUCAAAACCCCACUCAAGUGAGAGUAAAAUAGAAAGGCUAUAAAUUCCAGAAGCUCAAAGAGAACAGAAGUAAAAAUGAUAUUAGCUAUCAAAACAUUUUUAGAAGGUAAAAAAUAUAUAGAGGAAUUAGCAGUUUGCAAACUCUGGAUACUGAGUACCUGUACAGAAGAUAUCCAAAAAGCAGGUUUGUGCUACAAAAUCACAGAAAGGCUAAGCAUCACAGGUGGGGAACAAAGCAUGUAACUAAAAACAAAGGAGAUGGGUAAAAUCUAUUUAAAGAGUCAAACCCCUCCAUUUACCUUCCAUCUCUCCAUCCUAUACUCUUUCUUAACCCUAUUUUAUGAAGAAAAUGAACCAAAGAGACUACACAAAGAAACCAGGCACAAGUACGGAAGAGACCCAGUAUACUGAAAGAGGGAAUUAAAAUUCCAUACAUUUAAUUUCAUACUUCAGCUCCAAGACUUCUAGCAGAUACGGGUAUGUAUAAACUACUCUACCUCUCUGGCAAAAAUGAGGUAGAUUCUUAGCUGUAAAAACUAAAAGCCCCAAAGAAAAGAUCUCUAAAUGCUGACAUUUGGAGCUUUUCUUAAAGUGAUAUGGCCGGAUCUUCUACCCAGUCAUCAAAGAAUAAGUCCCAUUUACGUGUUCACAGAGUUUCUGAACAGUUUUUUACUAACUCAUUUAAAUAUAAACAGCUCACCAGACGUUUGAAGAAAGUAUCUCACAUAAAUAGGAGAUUAAAACAAAAAGGAAACUGAUGAAACAGAGACAACCCAGGGAAUAAAAUAAAAAUUCAAAACAAGUAUAAUAUCUGAAAGAUACUGCACCCAUGAAAUCAAAACAAGAAGUUAUGAAAAAAAAAGAACUCUUAAAUUCAAAAUAUUGCAGCUAAAAUAGAUCAACAGGAGAAAAAGAAGGUAAUUAAAUAUCUCCAGAAUAAAAAUACAAAGAAAAUAAAAAAAGACAAAGAAAAUAACAAAAAGACAAAGAAAAAUUACAGGAAAGAUAAAAAAAAUUAGAGGUUCAAUCAGAAGGCCUAACAUCCAAGUUACAAAAGCCUCAGAAAAAGUGAGAUAAGGAAAUGAACUAAGAAUACAAAAAAAUUUACCCUAACAGAAGGCUAUGCAUUCCCACAUUGAAAAAACCCUAAAUGUUCAAGAGAGUGAAUUAAAAAAAAGACUCACCCCAAUGAGAGAUGAGAAAAAUCACAGGGUUGGGGAUGGCCUUCAACUAUAUUGGUGAUAUUUUAUGCCUUGGGCCAGGUGGCAAGAACAUAGGUCUUUAUUAUUAUUUUUUUCUUUUUAUGGCCACCCGCGCCAGAUGGAAGUUCCCAUUCCAGGGGUCGAAUCAGAGUCACAGCUGAGUCCCAGUCCCAGCCAUGGCAACACCGGAUCCAUGCCACAUCUGGACCUAUGCUGUAACUUAUGGCAACACCAGAUUCCCAACCCACUGAGCAAGGCCAGGGAUCAAACCUGUAUCCUCACAAAGACGUCAGGCUCUUAACCCAUUGAGCUACAAAGGGAAUUCCUAUUAUUCUUUAUACCUCUUUAUGUCUGAAAUAUUUCAUAAAUUAAAAAUCAAGAAAAGACCCAUCUCAAAGCUUAUUCUCAGUCUUCUGAAAUUUUGCAAGAAGGAGUUUUGAAAGCUUCCAGAGAGGAAACAUGACAUCUUGACAUUGGAUUUCUCAGUAGCAACACUAGAAGUGUAAAUAAAGACAGUGGAGUAAUACCUUUAUAAAUCUGCAGAAAAAUGACCUCCAACCUAGAAUUCCAAACCUAUCUAAACUAUCAAUCAAAUGUAAUGGUAGAGACACUUUUCAGACAUGUGAGAUCUCAUUUGAGUCAUGGAACUGAGGCAGAGCAGUCACAGGAUCCCAGAAGAGACUCAGGUAAAAGGCAAACAGAAACCCCAGGAUAUACAUGUACAAGAUAGGUGAGAUGUAUACACAUCUUGGGAUAGACCUCCAAAAACAUUCUUACUGAAACACAGUAAUAUUACAAAACUGUAAAGAUACUAAAUGUCUGAAAACAGAAUAAAUAGUGAUGUAGUCAUACAACAAAAUAACAAAUACAGUGAUUUAAAUAAAUGAACUAGAAUUAUAUUAUAACAUAAUUCUCAAAAGCAAUGUUGAACCAAAGCAAUCUGCAGAAUGAUACAUGCAAUAUACUAUUUGUAGAGUGCUAAAUCACACAAAAUAGUUACAUAUAUUGUUUACGUAUUGAUACAUGCAUAGCAAAAUA
Molecule: long non-coding RNA, 5922 nt
Organism: Sus scrofa (pig)
Lineage: Eukaryota; Metazoa; Chordata; Mammalia; Artiodactyla; Suidae
Source: RefSeq, a predicted model, not a curated record